RNAcentral lists this ribosomal RNA (372 nucleotides) under uncultured organism. RNAcentral describes it as "bacterial SSU rRNA". It matches the Rfam family "Bacterial small subunit ribosomal RNA", at positions 526 to 896 of the family's 1533-position model. The record is from RNAcentral.
CGAAGGUGGCAAGCGUUACUCGGAAUUACUAGGCGUAAAGGGCAGGUAGGUGGUUUGGUUAGUCUGUUGUGAAAGCUCCUUGCUUAACGGGGAGAGGCCAACAGAUACUGCCAGGCUUGAGUAUAGGAGAGGGUACUGGAAUUCCCGGUGUAGCGGUGAAAUGCGCAGAGAUCGGGAGGAACACCAAUGGCGAAAGCAGGUACCUGGACUAUUACUGACACUCAGCUGCGAAAGCUAGGGGAGCAAACAGGAUUAGAUACCCUGGUAGUCCUAGCCGUAAACGAUGCACAUUAGGCGUGAGGGGUAUCGACCCCCUUCGUGCCGAAGCAAACGCAUUAAAUGUGCCGCCUGGGGAGUACGGCCGCAAGGUUG